AUUGAACGCUGGCGGCAUGCCUUACACAUGCAAGUCGAACGGCAGCACGGGUGCUUGCACCUGGUGGCGAGUGGCGAACGGGUGAGUAAUACAUCGGAACGUACCUUAUCGUGGGGGAUAACGCAGCGAAAGCUGUGCUAAUACCGCAUACGCCCUGAGGGGGAAAGCGGGGGAUCGCAAGACCUCGCGCGAUUAGAGCGGCCGAUGCCUGACUAGCUUGUUGGUGGGGUAAAAACCCACCAAGGCGACGAUCAGUAGCUGGUCUGAGAGGACGGUAGGCCACACUGGGACGGAGAAACGGCCCAGACUCCGACGGGAGGCAGCAGUGGGGAAUUUUGGACAAUGGGGGCAACCCUGAUCCAGCAAUGCCGCGUGAGUGAAGAAGGCCUUCGGGUUGUAAAGCUCUUUUGUCAGGGAAGAAACACCGGCUCUAACACAGUCCGGGAAUGACGGUACCUGAAGAAUAAGCACCGGCUAACUACGUGCCAGCCGCCGCCGUAA
This 501-nucleotide ribosomal RNA is filed under the name uncultured bacterium. RNAcentral describes it as "partial 16S ribosomal RNA". It matches the Rfam family "Bacterial small subunit ribosomal RNA", at positions 29 to 523 of the family's 1533-position model. The record is from RNAcentral.